Molecule: long non-coding RNA, 102 nt
Organism: Myotis brandtii (Brandt's bat)
Lineage: Eukaryota; Metazoa; Chordata; Mammalia; Chiroptera; Vespertilionidae
Exons: 3
Source: RefSeq, a predicted model, not a curated record
CCGGGGCUACUUUACGAGAAGGACACAUUGUGAGAAAUGCAUCGUUAGGCGAUUUUGUUGUUGUGCAAACAUCAUAGAGUGCACUUACACAAACCGAGAUGG